Mesocricetus auratus (golden hamster) is the source of this 1142-nucleotide long non-coding RNA. RefSeq lists it as uncharacterized. The record is from RefSeq and is a predicted model, not a curated record. Lineage: Eukaryota; Metazoa; Chordata; Mammalia; Rodentia; Cricetidae. The transcript is spliced from 2 exons.
AGAAGGGAGGAGAAGCCCUGUGCGGCCGCGCCACCUGACUCCUAGCUCUGAAGACUCCCAGCGCCCAGGUCCCGCGGCUCUCAGAGUAAACCUUGGGAGAGGGCAGAGCAGUUCGAACGUCAACUCAACCGCGGGCGGUGGCGAAGCGCUGGGAUGUUCUACGAGCCAGGCUGGGGGAAGGAGCUGCAAAGAUUCUCGGAGGCGUCAGAGGGCUUCCUCCCGCUUCUAGGAACUGCAUACAGGGAAUGAAUGGCUUGGGAGAAAGCAGCUUCUGGUGCCUCCGCGGAUGUGGGAGUGUCAGGGAGCCCAGUGUGUCCAGUUUUGUGCCGACUGGGUUGAGUCAGUCGGUGUUAGAACGAGUGGGAAAGGCUGGGGCCACGGGAGACCGAGGAUGAGUUUGGUGGAGUCCCCAGUACUCACGGACUCUGGCGAACUCCUCCCGGAGCAGGGGUCCUCUUCUCUGGACUCUGGAUUUGGAGUUGUCAGUUUCAGACGACGACCCCUCGGAGUUCGGCCUGGCAUUGAGGCCGCGAGUAGGAGCAGGAGGCGGCGGGGUCGUGGAGAGCGCCAGAAGGCGGGCCAGGCAGGAAGCUGAGGGGAGAAAUCCCAGAGUCGCGGGCUAGCCACAGGAAGAGGACGCCGCAGAAGACCCGAGAAGAAUCGCAUGAAGCUGCAGGACAGACGAGAAAGGUGGUGGAGCUCCUGACGGCGGGAGAGUCUGGGAGCAAGGCGAGCGGCGGGAAGGGUGUGGGCAAAAGAGAGAAACAAACCCAACACAUUAGGCUCUUGUCCAGUCAACUACUUGAGGCCCCUUGAUGAAGCAUUUUGAGAAUUUACUUUGGGGGUGUAAGAAAGCUUGGUGAAAGCAACACAGAAAGUGCGAGGUCAGAGUCUCCCUUCACUUCUCUUUAAAAUGAUGCGGUUCUACGCUGUGGCCCCUGGACCAGCAGCUGUUGCCAAUACGCAGAGGCUCCAUAGCAAAGCAAAACUUGAGUCCCUACCCCAGCCUAGUUCAUGUACAUUAAACGUGGCAUACCUGUGUAAGAAGGUUUACGUUCACAGAUAAUUUCUGCAAUUCUUCCCCUUCCAUCAUCGGAAUCCUUCUCGAUGUGUCCUUUCCCAAUAAAUCAUUACCUACCCGA